UGGGUGGCAAACCCGUGGGCGCAAUGAAAGUGAAGGCAGGCGCUCUGGGCCUGCUGUGGCGAGAGCCGCUGCCCCCAGCUGCGGCGCAUCGUCGACCGAUCCCGGGCUACGCUGUGGCGGGAUUUGAGUGAGAGCGUGCCUGUUGCGACCCGAAAGAUGGUGAACUAUGCCUGAAUAGGGUGAAGCCAGAGGAAACCCUGGUGGAAGCUCGCAGCGAUUMUGACGUGCAAAUCGAUCGUCAAAUUUGGGUAUAGGGGCGAAAGACUAAUCGAACCGUCUAGUAGCUGGUUCCCUCCGAAGUUUCCCUCAGGAUAGCUGGAGCCCGUGUGGCAGUUUUAUCAGGUAAAGCGAAUGAUUAGAGGUCUUGGGGCUGAAACGGCCUCAACCUAUUCUCAAACUUUAAAUGGGUAAGAAGCCCGGCUUGCUCGGUUGAAGUCGGGCGCAGAAUGCCUGGGCUCCCAGUGGGCCAUUUUUGGUAAGCAGAACUGGCGAUGUGGGAUGAACCGAAAGUCGGGUUAAGGUGCCGGAAUCGACGCUCAUCAGAUCCCAUGAAAGGUGUUGGUUGAUACAGACAGCAGGACGGUGGCCAUGGAAGUCGGAAUCCGC
RNAcentral lists this ribosomal RNA (606 nucleotides) under Crella cyathophora. RNAcentral's name for it is "eukaryotic LSU rRNA". It matches the Rfam family "Eukaryotic large subunit ribosomal RNA", at positions 695 to 1271 of the family's 3401-position model. The record is from RNAcentral. Lineage: Eukaryota; Metazoa; Porifera; Demospongiae; Poecilosclerida; Crellidae.